Oikopleura dioica is the source of this 46-nucleotide non-coding RNA. The record is from Rfam. Lineage: Eukaryota; Metazoa; Chordata; Appendicularia; Copelata; Oikopleuridae.
AAACAGGCCCUUUUUAGGGCCACAAAUUUCAACCUUCCUUUCUUAG